UUUUUCAGCUUCUCUUACAGCCCUGUCAGUGGGGAGGCUGGGGGUGCACAAGGAACUUGCAGGGGACAGAACCAGGGCCCUACUUGUGGCAGUUCAGAUGGCUAAUGCUCUUGACAAAUGUUUCCUCAUUAUGUUUUAAAAUUUAUGUUCUAUAUACUUUUGCAUAGAUAUAGUUACGUUGGUCCAUGAUGUCAGGUGGAUGUUAGUGCUAUGGCAGCAGAGGCUGAACCUUCC
Molecule: long non-coding RNA, 234 nt
Filed under: Numida meleagris (helmeted guineafowl)
Lineage: Eukaryota; Metazoa; Chordata; Aves; Galliformes; Numididae
Description: lncRNA (ENSNMEG00000021568.1)
Source: RNAcentral